CCUACGGGAGGCAGCAGUAGGGAAUAUUGCUCAAUGGGGGAAACCCUGAAGCAGCAAAGCCGCGUGGAGGAUGAAGGUUUUCGGAUUGUACACUCCUUUUGUUAGAGAAGAUAAUGACGGUAUCUAACGAAUAAGCACCGGCUAACUCCGUGCCAGCAGCCGCGGUAAUACGGAGGGUGCAAGCGUUACUCGGAAUCACUGGGCGUAAAGAGCGAGUAGGCGGGAUAGCAAGUCAGAUGUGAAAUCCUAUGGCUUAACCAUAGAACUGCAUUUGAAACUGUUAUUCUAGAGUAUGGGAGAGGUAGGUGGAAGUCUUGGUGUAGGGGUAAAAUCCGUAGAGAUCAAGAGGAAUACUCAUUGCGAAGGCGACCUGCUAGAACAUAACUGACGCUGAUGCGCGAAAGCGUGGGUAGCAAACAGGAUUAGAUACCCGUGUAGUC
Molecule: ribosomal RNA, 440 nt
Filed under: uncultured bacterium
Lineage: Bacteria
Description: partial 16S ribosomal RNA
Rfam family: Bacterial small subunit ribosomal RNA
Source: RNAcentral